Molecule: long non-coding RNA, 437 nt
Filed under: Brachypodium distachyon (stiff brome)
Lineage: Eukaryota; Viridiplantae; Streptophyta; Magnoliopsida; Poales; Poaceae
Description: long non-coding RNA (BDIS_LNC000498)
Source: RNAcentral
UUUUUAUGGAGUCGGAUUCACGACGUCGCGGGCGCCAUGGCCGCCAAGAACAGCACGGCUGCACACGUGGACCGACCAGCACGGCCGUGUGCGUGGAGGCAAACACGCACGCCGUUAGCUAACCGGCGGUCGUGAAUCUUGAGUCCAGAAUCGACUGUCCUUGGACGGUGAAUUUCCUGCUGAAUGAAUGCCACAUGCAGAUCUAGAUGUAUUGAGAUGUUGUCGGCAUACUCCAUUUCCUCCAGCUCCGUCGUACGUGGGCAUGCAUUUUCGAGAGGCGAGACGAUGUUCUCGCUUCAUUUGUUUUUAUGUUUUUUUUAGAACCAAGGAUGUUCUCGCUUCAUUUGUUUUUGUUUUAUUUUUAGAAUCAAGGAUGUUCUCGCUUCAUUUGUUUUUUUUUUUUUUUAGAAUCAAGGAUGUUCUCGCUUCGGGAAGAU